RNAcentral lists this ribosomal RNA (443 nucleotides) under uncultured bacterium. Its description in RNAcentral is "bacterial SSU rRNA". It matches the Rfam family "Bacterial small subunit ribosomal RNA", at positions 958 to 1397 of the family's 1533-position model. The record is from RNAcentral.
AACGCGAAGAACCUUACCAGCUCUUGACAUGUCCAGUAUGGGGCCGAGAGAUCGACUCCUUCAGUUCGGCUGGCUGGAACACAGGUGCUGCAUGGCUGUCGUCAGCUCGUGUCGUGAGAUGUUGGGUUAAGUCCCGCAACGAGCGCAACCCUCACCUUCAGUUGCCAUCAGGUUAUGCUGGGCACUCUGGAGGAACUGCCGGUGACAAGCCGGAGGAAGGCGGGGAUGACGUCAAGUCCUCAUGGCCUUUAUGGGCUGGGCUACACACGUGCUACAAUGGCGGUGACAGAGGGACGCGAAGGGGCAACCCUUGGCCAAUCUCAAAAAGCCGUCUCAGUUCGGAUUGUUCUCUGCAACUCGAGAGCAUGAAGCUGGAAUCGCUAGUAAUCGCGGAUCAGCACGCCGCGGUGAAUACGUUCCCGGGCCUUGUACACACCGCAUAC